This 253-nucleotide ribosomal RNA is filed under the name uncultured bacterium. Its description in RNAcentral is "partial 16S ribosomal RNA". It matches the Rfam family "Bacterial small subunit ribosomal RNA", at positions 524 to 776 of the family's 1533-position model. The record is from RNAcentral.
UACGUAGGGAGCAAGCGUUGUUCGGAUUUACUGGGCGUAAAGGGCGCGUAGGCGGCGCGGUAAGUCACUUGUGAAAUCUCUGAGCUUAACUCAGAACGGCCAAGUGAUACUGCAGUGCUAGAGUGCAGAAGGGGCAAUCGGAAUUCUUGGUGUAGCGGUGAAAUGCGUAGAUAUCAAGAGGAACACCGGUGGCGAAGGCGGGUCUCUGGGCCGAUACUGACGCUGAGGAGCGAAAGCGUGGGGAGCAAACAGG